This 4707-nucleotide long non-coding RNA is filed under the name Homo sapiens (human). RNAcentral's name for it is "non-protein coding lnc-FAAH2-1:13". The record is from RNAcentral. Lineage: Eukaryota; Metazoa; Chordata; Mammalia; Primates; Hominidae.
CAAUUCAGUCUGGCCACAAUAUGAAUUAAAUAAUGGGUCCAAAUGGCCCGCAAAUGGAACAUUCAACUUUGCAAUUCUAACUUAUUUAAGCAAUUAAUGCUGACGACUGGAGAAAUGGCAAGAAAUUCCUUACGUCCAGGCCUUUUUACACUCAGAUCACAACCUGUCCUCUGCAAUUCUUGCUUAUCUGUUCAAAUCCUUCCCCUCCAUUCUAGCCGCCCUAAUCACCUUUCUCCUCCCAACCGUACCUCUUUUUUUCUCAUUAAAUCCAGCAGACUGCUGUCCACCCCUCCCAGCCCCUACCUCUUCCUCUCAACCAUCUUCUUUAACCCCCCAAGCCUCCUCAUUGUCUUCUCAGCUGCCAUCUUCCCAGUCAGCUGUAUCCACUUAUUUUUCUACACCGUCCCCUCCUCAGAACAAUUCUAAUAUUACCUAUACCUAUUCUCCUCCCCAACGCCCUCUCCUGAGGCUUGUAAACCUAUCCUGCCACCUUACGCCUCUGUCUAUCCUCCACUGCCUAUUAACUCAACCGCGCUUUCCCCUUCAAACCCUCAGAAGGAAUCAGUAUUUUAAACCUUCAGUUCAUCUCCUAAUCCACCCCCAAUGUUUGGCUCAAGCUCCAGAAGCUUGACGACGGCCGUCAAACCCCACAACAAGUCCUUCUUAAUUUAGCCUUCAAAGUCUUCAACAAUUGUAAUGAGGAAAGUAAAAGGCAAAAACAGGCAGAGUUUCAAAUGCUUGCCUCCACCAUCAGGGGCCCUGCAGGCCCACGGGGCCGCAGCUCCACACAGAAGCCUCCUAAAAAUCCACCUCCACCUGGCGCCUAUUUCAAGUGUGGCAAUGAAGGCCACUGGUCCAGACAAUGCCCAAACCCAGGUAAAGCCAGCAGUCCAUGCCCCUCUCUGCGGAGAACCCCACUGGAAGUCGGACUGUAAGCAGCUCCCACAAGGACUGCCCCCAUCCCUUCCUGAGCUAGCCAAAACCUCCUACUUAUAUCUCAUCGGCCUUGCCACUGAAGAAUGAUGGUGCCCUGGAACAGACACCCUGGCAACUACCUUUGCCUCAUCCAAGCCAAGGGUAACCCUGAUGGUGGCAGGUAGGCCAGUAUAUUUUUAAAUUAAUACCAGGCAACCUACUCUGCUUUACCUAAUUUUUCAGGAACCACCCAGUCCUCCCAGGUGUCUGUUGUAGGAAUUAAUGGACAAGUCUCCAAACCUCGAGUCCCCCCUCCACUUUUCUGCUCCCUUCACACCUUUUCCUUCACUCACUCUUUCUUAGUCCUGCCCUCAUGCCCAACUACUCUCCUAGGCAGAAAUAUCUUUCCAAAACUCCACACUACUUUCCACUUCCACAUUCCCCAUAGUACCCAACACAUCAACCCAGACCCCUCUGGGGCUUCUAACUUUCUUCUACUCCUCCAACCACCCACCUUAAAACGUGCAACUUUUUCUUGUCCCCCAUCUGUAGUUAACCCCGCUGUUUAGGAUACUUCCACACCCUCAGUCGCAGGACACCACACCCCUGUCCACAAUACCCUUAAAUAGCCCACCCAGUUCCUAUCACAGAAGUAGUAUGCCAUCCCCCAAGUAGCUCUCAUAAGCCUAAAGCCUAUCAUUUCUCGUCUCCUCUCCAGUCACCUACUCUGCCCAACAAACUCCCCUUUUAACACACCAGUUCUACCUGUGAAAAAGCUAGAUGGAGCUUAUCACUUAGUCUAGGACCUCAGGCUCAUUAACCAAGCUGUACUCCCAGUAUGUCCAGUAGUUCCUUACCCAUAUACUUUACUUUCCACAAUUCCCUCCGAUACCACUCAUUUUUCUGUUCUAAACCUAAAGGAUGCUUUUUUUUCAUAAUUCCUUUACACUCUGAUUCCCAAAACCUCUUUUCCUUUAUGUGGAAUACCCCCGACACCCACCUUUCAUGUGAGCUCACCUGGUGCAUACUACCUCAAGGUUUCAGAGACAGCCCCCACUUUUCUGUGUCCAAAAGGCCCUUGCUCAUGACCUCUGUAGCUUAUCCCUAAAGCUGUCCACUCUCUUUCAAUGUAUUAAUGAUCUGCUCCUGUGUAGCCCCUCUCAAAAAAACUGCAACUACCAUACUAUCUCUCUUUUAAACUUCUUCCCAAAAUGCGAGUAUUAGGUCUCCCCUAAAGAAACAAAAAUAUGCACCCCCCUCAGUCACCUAUCUAUGCCUAACUCUUACCCCAUGAACCUGAGAGCUCACAACCGACCACAUAUCCCUCCUCCAGUCCCUCCUGCCUCCGCAAACUAAGCAAAAAAAUCUCUCUUUUCUAGGACUAGUGGGAUAUUGUAGGCUCUGGGUUCCCUCCUUCGCUCUAUCUGCCAAACCAUUAUACCAGGCUGCUAAAGGCCCUCUCUAUGUGCCAUUAAACUCUGCACAGCCUAUUACCCAACCUUUCCAUCUACUCCAGAAGGCUCUCACCUCAGCCUCAUCCUCACUCUCCCAGACCUCACCAAACCUUUCUCCCUCUAUAUCGACAGAUGAUGUAAAGUUGCAUUAUGUAUUCUAACCCAGUCUAAGGGACCUACCGCCCAGGUUGUUGCCUACCUCUCUAAACAGCUUAAAGCCACCAUUCUCCGAUGGCCUGCCUGCCUUCAAGCAUUGGUGGCAGCUGCUGUCCUCACCCUUGAAAGCCUAAAACUAUCUCUCCAUGCCAACCUAACAGUUUAUUCAACCCAUAACAUCAAAAACAUGUUAGCUCACUGCAGUGUACUAAGUCUCAUCUCUGCCCCAUGGCUCCUCCAACUGUAUGCUCUAUUCAUAGAAAACCCCCUCCUACCAAUCACCAUACUAACCAGCUCCCGUCUAAACACAGCCAUGCUCUUACCUGAAGUUACAACCGCCCAAGACCCUACACACUUCUGUGUAAACACUGUUCAAACCUUCCUUAUACCUUUUCCAAACCUAACAGAACAACCCUUUCCAGAUGCCCCCUUUACUUAGUUUGUAGAUGGCAGCUCCUUCCUACAUCAAGGACGCUGGCAUGCUGGCUAUGCUAUAGUGUCACCCCACACACACACACUAUUGAAGCCAAUCUGCUCUUGCUAAGCACCACCUCUAAAAAAGCUGAACUCGUCGCUCUUCCUCAAGCUCUCACUCUAGCAGCCAGACAACAAAUCAACAUAUAUUCAAAUUCUCGUUAUACAUUCUACAUAGUGUACUCACACUCGUCCAUCUGGAAAAAACGAGGCUUCCUAAUUGCAAAAAACACUCCUGCCAUAAAUGGCUCUCUCAUCAGCAAACUCCUUCAAGCUGCCAGGCUUCUACAGAAAGUUGCCAUCAUUUAUUGCAGGGGCCACCAAACCCCGGAUGAUCCUAUAUCAGCUGGAAAUAGGCUAGCAGAUCAGAUAACCAAACAAGUAGCCCUCCAACCCAUGCAAGGCCAGUUUCUGUCCCUGUCCUUUUUCUCUCCUCUUUACUCCUCAGAAGAAAAGGAGGACUUCCAAGCCCAAAACCUUCAAAAGCAAGGACCAUGGUAUGUCAAGGAAAGGUGCUUUAUUCUUCCUCACUCUCAAAGCCUUCCUCACCUCCAAAGCCUCCACAACCCUUUCCAUAUCAGUUACAACCUCUCUUGCAACUUCUCUGCCCUAUUCUCACUUGCCCUCACCUUUCCAGCCAUGUUUGAGAAAUUACCUAGUCCUGCUCUGUCUGCCACUCAGUGUCACCCCAAGGCUCCUUCCAGCCACCUUUUCCUACCCACCAAGCCCAGGGCCAGGUACCCAGGCAAAAUUAACAAAUGGACUUCACUCACAUGCUGGCCAAUAAACGGCUCCACUAUCUUCUAGUCUUUAUCUGUACUUUCUCCAGGUAGAUAAAAGCAUUCCCAACAACUUCAGAAGGUAUAAAUGUCAUCACACAAACUCUCUUCAUGCAUAUAAUUCUCCGUUUUGGACUUCCAACAUUCAUCCAGUCCAACAACGGACCCUCCUUCAUCAGCCAAAUUAUCCAAGGCAUCUCUACAUCCUUAGGUAUAAAAUGGGUUCUCCACACACCCUAUAGGCCUCAAUUCUCAGGCAAAGUUGAAAAAAUUACGUCUGUCCUUAAAGCCCAACUCACCAAGCUGGCUCUAAAAACUCACCAGUCGUAAACAAAAAAUCUCCCUUUCACCCUUAUAAGACUCCACACAACACCAAAAGCACCCUCUUUUUAUAGUCCCUUUGAAAUCAUAUAUGGCCAAACUUUUGUCUUGGGGUCUCCACCCUUACCAGACUCUGAGCCACUCAGAUAUUACCUCUCCUCCUUAAUCCAGACAUGGUCUUUCAUUCGUGAAGCAGCAAAUAAGGCCAUGCCUCUCCCUGUUAACACCUUUUUGUCCUCUGAACGUAACUGUCUUACAGGCACAGACGUGUUUCCAGACAAUCCAGAUGAUGCUUCUGCUACAGCGACAUGGCCCAGUCCCAAGGCGCAAGGGCCACUUGUGUCAGCAGUGUGCACCAGCAGCGUGCGCCGGCAAGAUAGCAGAAGCAUGAAAAGGGCCGGCCAGAAGACACCUACUCUGGCUGGAAGACACGUACCCCUGAAGAUCAAGAAAGAAGCUAUCUGGGAACAAUGUAGCAGUUACGUCAGACCAGGACACUUCCUGUUUACAGGAGACUAUAAAACCUUUGUCCUAUCAUCACUUGAUGUGGACGCCAUUUUAGGCCUCAGCCCGCCUGCACCCAGGCACUGAUUAAAACAGCAUGUUGC